RNAcentral lists this long non-coding RNA (471 nucleotides) under Equus caballus (horse). Its description in RNAcentral is "lncRNA (ENSECAG00000045538.1)". The record is from RNAcentral. Lineage: Eukaryota; Metazoa; Chordata; Mammalia; Perissodactyla; Equidae.
CAGCCCCCAGGGCCCUUGUGAUGCUGACUGUGCUCUUAGGAUAUGAGAUGUCGCCCUGCUCUCUGCUUCAUUCCUUGCAAACUGUCCCAAGGUCACCCUGGAGCUUCACGCCAGGAGGAUCCGGCUCACCCCGCCUUCAACAAGUCCCACACGAAACAGUGGCGGGGGGUGGCCUUGUGACUCACAGUCGGAAGGACAACCACGCGAAACCAGAGAACCACCUGGAGGAGCGCUGAGGGCAGAGGAAACGGAUCCAAGUUCAACACGCACCUCGUUCUGCCUCCUGUGUGCUGGGAGCGCGUCCAGCCCGGGCUCCGACGGGGAAAUCGCACCAAGGGGCCAGCAACCGGUAACCGCCAGCGCAACUGGCUUUUCCUUGGCCCGUAAGCCAAUUAACGAUUCACUUAUUUACGCCUGUCCACCGUGAAUAAAAUAAUGCCAUCUACUGAGCGUCUGCUCCGGGCACCGUGC